RNAcentral lists this ribosomal RNA (929 nucleotides) under uncultured bacterium. RNAcentral describes it as "bacterial SSU rRNA". It matches the Rfam family "Bacterial small subunit ribosomal RNA", at positions 56 to 988 of the family's 1533-position model. The record is from RNAcentral.
UGCAGUCGAACGAGAAUUCCGAGCUUGCUCGGAAGGACAGUGGCAGACGGCUGAGUAACACAUGGGAACAUACCCUGAACACGAGGAUAGCUCACCGAAAGGUGGGGUAAUACUCGAUAGUCUCUUCGGAGUAAAGCUUUUGCGGUUCAGGAUUGGCCUGUGUCCUAUCAGGUUGUUGGUAAGGUAACUGCUUACCAAGCCUAUGACGGGUAGCUGGUCUGAGAGGAUGAUCAGCCAGACUGGGACUGCGAUACGGCCCAGACUCCUACGGGAGGCAGCAACUAGGAAUCGUGCACAAUGGACGAAAGUCUGAUGCCGCGACACCGCGUGAUGGAUGAAGGUCUUCGGAUCGUAAACAUCUUUUUAGGGGGAACAAGUUCUGAGUGUACCCCUAGAAUAAGCGCCUGCUAACCACGUGCCAGAAGCAUCGGUAAUACGUGGGGCACAAGCGUUAUCCGGAUUUACUGGGCGUAAAGAGAUGCGUAGGCGUCCUUGUAAGUUUGGUGUUAAAUCUCAAUGCUCAACAUUGAAACUGCAUCAAAAACUAUAAGGAUUGAGUUUGGUAGAGAGGAAGGGAAUUCCUGGUGGAGCGGUUAAAUGCGUUGAUAUCAGGAGGAACACCAAUGGCGAAGGCACUUCCUUGGACCAAUACUGACGCUAAGGCUCGAAAGUGUGGGGAGCAAAACGGAUUAGAUACCCGUGUAGUCUACACCGUANACUAUCUCUGUUAGAUGUUUGUUCUAUUCCUUGGAUUCUACUUCGGUAGGGUAUCAAGCUAGAAUGAGUGUCGCAGCUAACGCGUUAAACAGAGCGCCUGGGGAGUACGGUCGCAAGACUAAAACUCAAAGGAAUUGACGGGGACCCGCACAAGCAGUGGAGCGCCUGGUUUAUUCGAUGAUCAGCGAAGACCUCACCUAGGCUUUGACUGU